This 503-nucleotide ribosomal RNA is filed under the name uncultured bacterium. Its description in RNAcentral is "partial 16S ribosomal RNA". It matches the Rfam family "Bacterial small subunit ribosomal RNA", at positions 30 to 523 of the family's 1533-position model. The record is from RNAcentral.
AUUGAACGCUGGCGGCAGGCUUAACACAUGCAAGUCGAGCGGAGUGAUGGUGCUUGCACUAUCACUUAGCGGCGGACGGGUGAGUAAUGCUUAGGAAUCUGCCUAUUAGUGGGGGACAACAUCUCGAAAGGGAUGCUAAUACCGCAUACGUCCUACGGGAGAAAGCAGGGGAUCACUUGUGACCUUGCGCUAAUAGAUGAGCCUAAGUCGGAUUAGCUAGUUGGUGGGGUAAAGGCCUACCAAGGCGACGAUCUGUAGCGGGUCUGAGAGGAUGAUCCGCCACACUGGGACUGAGACACGGCCCAGACUCCUACGGGAGGCAGCAGUGGGGAAUAUUGGACAAUGGGGGGAACCCUGAUCCAGCCAUGCCGCGUGUGUGAAGAAGGCCUUAUGGUUGUAAAGCACUUUAAGCGAGGAGGAGGUUUACCUAGUUAAUACCUGGGAUAAGUGGACGUUACUCGCAGAAUAAGCGCCGGCUAACUCUGUGCCAGCAGCCGCCGCGG